Equus quagga is the source of this 3457-nucleotide RNA transcript. It is a transcript of the gene named exonuclease 5, with no coding region annotated. The record is from RefSeq and is a predicted model, not a curated record. Lineage: Eukaryota; Metazoa; Chordata; Mammalia; Perissodactyla; Equidae. The transcript has 4 exons.
AAGCGAAGACGCGGCGCUGAACGGGCGGAGGCAGGUGCACCGGAGAAAGGGACACGCCCAGAGCUCUCUCGGACCCUGGCUUGGCAGUGAGACUGCGCCAGAGAGGGAACCUCUAGGUCCAGUGACAACGCAGCCCGGUCCAGAACUAAACCUCACGCACAGCCAUCGAGGCACAGUGACGGACUGCCGCAGGUCGACUCUCGCAUCAGGACCCUCCUCCGCCCGGCGGCCAAACGAAUUCCCGCGCGAGGUGCAGACUCGCGAGGACGGAGCGGCGCCGCUGAGGCCUCCGGGAGGGAGGGGCGUAGGGCAGCCGCUGGGCGUUCUGGGCCGGGUCUCCAGGCGGCGCUGUGGGAAACCCGGGCUGAAAGGGCGUCGGCUCGGCGUGCUCUUGCUGGUCGUGGGGAGAGUCCGGGAGCAGUUCCGAGGCAGUGGCGGAGCCGCGUGGAGUCGGGGGUUCGGAGGAGUGUCCGAGGGAGCCGGGAUUGCAUCAAGUAACUGUAUCCAGGGGAUGGGAGAAUGAAAAGUCAUGGAGAAUUUGCCCCUGGAGAGAGGCAAGCGUUACCUAGGACCUGGGGUGGGCAACAGUCUGUGGAGCAGAGAGGAGGAGCCGCCGCAAUGUGAGGGACUGGUCAGGUGACAAAGACCGAAGUGCCGUUCUACCACAGCAAGGCCCAGAGUUGCUAAUCUGGAUUCUUCCAUGCAGACCUGGUCUUUCAGAGCGCCUUUCUUCUCCCCCCCGGCCUUGUCGUUUCAGCAUUCUGCUUUUCCUUUCGAGAAGGAAGAUCAGCCGAGUCCCAGGAGCUUACUCUGUCUUUGAGGAGUUAAUACAUACAUGUGAAAUAAUCUGAAUCAGUACUGUCCAAUAGAACUUCUGUGAUCAGGUGACAGUGCCACCAGGAAACCAACAAGCAGACAGAUUAGCCCAGAUUCGUCUCCUAGAAGAAGUACCAGCUGAGAGAGUGGCAGAAUGGUUACACUAGAAAACUGGACGUAAAAGACAGAGGACCCUAUGGACUUUUUCCAAGGCCUGGGGCCUCUCCCUACGCUGUGCUGAUGUAGUAUGGGUCACCAGGCGUGCCCUUUUUGUUCCUUGCGGAGACCCUGGGCCAUUCCUCAGGAUGUAGGCUAAAUCACCAGAGGCAACCAACCCAUCCAAUGCUGGCAGGUGGAUUACGUUGGACCCUUAACCUCUCUCCAACAGUUGCCAAUAUGCCUUUAAUUGCAUAGACACAUAUACAGAACUGCUGCAGGCGUACUCCAGCACACGGGCCACACUGAAGACCACCAUAAGAGGCCCAGAUCACCUCUGCACUGCUUAUGGUGUUCCCAUGGACAUCAACAGUGACCAAGAUACUCAUUUUACUGGCCACCAGGUACAAACAUGGGCUGACCAAAUGGACCAUACAUUGGCAUUUUCACCAGCCAUACAACCUCACAGCCACGGGGCUGGUAGAACAAAUGAAUGGCUUGCUGAAACAACAAUUAAGGACAGAAGAAAGGACCCUAGCCCACUGGCUGAGAUGCCUAACAACUGCAAUACGUCAACUAAAUGAACAUGAGAAACAUACCCAACCCAGCGCGUAUCGGAUGUUGAUACAAGGACCCGAUCCAACUGUAUGCCUACAGACAAGAGCACACUAAGUAGAAACUAUACAACCACAAAUAGGCACUCAGAACAACUUGCUUAUGCCUUUGCUAUAAGAACUCCUACUAGGACCCACGUGAUCACUUGGCCCUGGGACUGCCAGGUGGAGCCCCACUGGUGUGGUCUCUUAGCCACUUGGGGGACAGGCUUAGGACAAGAUAGUAACAGCCUUUAUUGUGGGAGGACCACCCAAAACCUCCAAACUUAGUAAUCCAGGGCCUCCAAUUCCCCAAGGCACUUUCAUCCUAUCCCUCUGGUGGUGGUGUUCCUCCCUUAUCCUACACCACUGCCCCUGUGGCGCCCAACCCAACUGGACAAGUAGUAUGAUAUUGCUGUCCUCAUCUAAAACCAUAGGCCAGUACCACACUAACGCAAGACAUUGCAACCACGUGUGUCUUGUUGGAUGGUCAUGACCUCCCUGUUUUAGUUCCCUCUAAAUGUCUUACCUUUUGUCCUUAAGACAAGGUCUGCCAACCUCUUCACUGAUUGGGCGUACGUUGUUGCUCACAAAAUGGCUCCAACUGCUAGGUAUGUAGCAGGCAGCCUCUCUCUUUGACCACGUAGUUACCAUGGCAUCUCCAAGCUGCCAACGACUGACUGGAGAGCCCUGCACGAUUGGAGGAAUGCUUACCACAUUCCUGUUCCUCCUCCCCUCCCACCAGCAGCCUUUCCUUGCCCUCUUAUAAUGCCUCUUGAGAUCAUAUGUUUCAGCUUGUGCGUGAGCAGGUUAAGACAACCCCAAAAGCGGAAUACUCCGUUUUUGAUGGUGUAAGAUGGUUGCAAUGCUCCUCUAUGUGUCUGGCCUGAGGGGAUCCACGGAAGAAUGGCGUGAUAAGAUUGUAAGGGCCAUUUGGACACAUAGAGGGGUGGAGUGUAGGAUCACACUUGCCCAGCAAUAACCUACGUGUCCUAUAGUAAUCGUGUCCCCUAGCCUCCUUCCUAGGCAUGACGCCAACCAUCUAGUAGUGUAAUGAUUCAGGGCCUGGCCAACCUGGAUCUGCUUAUCUCAAAGAACAUCAUGUCUUGAAGGAACACAGAGCCCUUCCAGGUGAGCUACUGGUCCUUGGAAUGCUGGUCAUGUGAGGACAGUCCCUCUUGGCAGGCAUGUAGCCUUUGUUCCCCUGCCUACUUAAGCAACCCCCUCUCAGUUCUUGGUAAUGGUGUGCAACUCUGUCCAGCUGGCUGCUCCUGGACUCCCUGUGUGUAGUUCCCAAUAAACUGUUAAGCUCAUACACCAUCUCCAAGUCUUUUUUUCGGUCUCUUCCACUGCGUUUCCAGAACUGCUUGCCCAACUAGGUGUGCAGUCAGACAGGAACAGUUUGUAAUUGAGAUUUAUUUUCCUAGUCAAGGACUUCAUGUCAAAGAAACUGUCAAAGUGGCCCUUGGUAAACUGUCAGACAUUGGUCCAACAUUUACAAAGAUCUGUAUUCGCUUAAAGAAAUAAUAUCCUAAGUCAGUAGAAUUUUGAAGCAGAAAAGGCAAACCUCAAAUCUCCUUUUAUGUGAAGAAAUUGAGGCCAAGCAAGGUGAUUUGCUGAAAGUCACACACAAUGUUAGUGCCAGAUUUAGGAAUAAAACUAUUUUGCACUUAAAAAAUUUGGCCAAGUGUUUGUAUGGAUGAUCCAAGGAGCUGUAUUAUUGUAAAUUGUACCCAUACCACAACUCUGUAGCAGUACUGCUGGGUCUUAAAUAAAUAGAGUUCUUUAAAUAAUGUAAAUAUAUAAUUAGCCAUGAUUCUUUUUACAUCAUUGGAAUUUGAAAGUGCUUUUGAGAAAUUUUUUAUUUGAAUAAUGCCUUUCUUUAACAUGAU